Molecule: non-coding RNA, 116 nt
Filed under: Novosphingobium sp. 9U
Lineage: Bacteria; Pseudomonadati; Pseudomonadota; Alphaproteobacteria; Sphingomonadales; Sphingomonadaceae
Source: RNAcentral
GAGAGCCGGAUGCAGGGAGAUCCGCAUGUCCGGUUCAAUGAGCAAGGGGUGAAAACGGGUCGUCUGGUAAGCUCCACAGGCGAACCGCACGAUACCGCGCCACCUCCUGACUCUAC